GAGUGGAAAUCAUCGUGAUGAUGAUGAUGGUGAUGAUCGUGGUCGUGAUCAUGAUCGUCAUCGUCGUGAUCAUCAUCAUGGUCGUGG
RNAcentral lists this unclassified non-coding RNA (87 nucleotides) under Cohaesibacter sp. ES.047. RNAcentral describes it as "microRNA mir-598". Lineage: Bacteria; Pseudomonadati; Pseudomonadota; Alphaproteobacteria; Hyphomicrobiales; Cohaesibacteraceae. The record is from RNAcentral.